GAUCGCUGUGAUGACUCACGAAAUUCAAGCUCAACAGACCGGAAUGCAGGGUUUUUCUUAUACAGAAAUACUUUGCGUGUCGAUAUUCCCGCUGAACUGAGUGAUC
This 106-nucleotide small nucleolar RNA is filed under the name Salix viminalis (osier). RNAcentral describes it as "Small nucleolar RNA Z107/R87". It matches the Rfam family "Small nucleolar RNA Z107/R87". From Rfam's summary of the family: Z107 and R87 are members of the C/D class of snoRNA which contain the C (UGAUGA) and D (CUGA) box motifs. Most of the members of the box C/D family function in directing site-specific 2'-O-methylation of substrate RNA The record is from Rfam by way of RNAcentral. Lineage: Eukaryota; Viridiplantae; Streptophyta; Magnoliopsida; Malpighiales; Salicaceae. RNAcentral also lists the same sequence under 1 other name.